UACAGAGGUCCCAAGCGUUGUUCGGAUCCAUUGGGCGUAAAGGGUGCGUAGGCGGCGCGGUAAGUCGGGUGUGAAAUCUCGGAGCUUAACUCCGAAACUGCAUUCGAUACUGCCGUGCUUGAGGACUGGAGAGGAGACUGGAAUUUACGGUGUAACGGUGAAAUGCGUAGAUAUCGUAAGGAAGACCAGUGGCGAAGGCGGGUCUCUGGACAGUUCCUGACGCUGAGGCACGAAGGCCAGGGGAGCAAACGGG
Molecule: ribosomal RNA, 253 nt
Filed under: uncultured bacterium
Lineage: Bacteria
Description: partial 16S ribosomal RNA
Rfam family: Bacterial small subunit ribosomal RNA
Source: RNAcentral